AUACGGAGGGUGCAAGCGUUAAUCGGAAUUACUGGGCGUAAAGCGUGCGCAGGCGGUUUGUUAAGUCAGAUGUGAAAGCCCCGGGCUCAACCUGGGAACUGCAUUUGAAACUGGCAAACUAGAGUGUGGUAGAGGGAAGUGGAAUUCCUCAUGUAGCGGUGAAAUGCGUAGAUAUGAGGAGGAACACCAGUGGCGAAGGCGACUUCCUGGACCAACACUGACGCUCAUGUACGAAAGCGUGGGUAGCAAACAGGAUUAGAAACCCGAGUAGUCC
Molecule: ribosomal RNA, 274 nt
Filed under: uncultured bacterium
Lineage: Bacteria
Description: partial 16S ribosomal RNA
Rfam family: Bacterial small subunit ribosomal RNA
Source: RNAcentral